Molecule: long non-coding RNA, 325 nt
Organism: Neoarius graeffei (lesser salmon catfish)
Lineage: Eukaryota; Metazoa; Chordata; Actinopteri; Siluriformes; Ariidae
Exons: 3
Source: RefSeq, a predicted model, not a curated record
GAAAAGCAGCUUUGGGACCAAAAGGUCACUGGUUUGAUUCCCUGGACCAGCAGGAAUAGCUGAAGGGUCCUUGAGCAAGACACCUGACCCCCAACUGCCCCAGUUGAUACACUCUAAUUUCAAUUUGAAGAUGUGGCAGCGGGGGCGUGGUCAAGCAUUGGUCUGUGACCAGAGGGCGGAGUCAGGAAAGCUGAGAUAAGCAGAGCAAUCCUCUUCUACCACUGCCUCUAUUUACACUUGAGCCUGACACACAGGAAGCAGAAGGAGAUGCAUUAAACUGAGGAAAUUCCCUGCUGCAAUUCAUCUUUUUUUCCGAAACAGAAUG